GUGAAUGCGGUCCUGUAAAUGCUGGCGAUCUUGUAGCAGUGCUGAUUAGCGAGUUGCUCCAACACCUCCUCAUAAUUUUUUCCUGCUCAUCACUCACCUGCUUUGUCAAAAUGAACAAGAAGGAAGCAUGAUUGAGCUGUGCACCGAGGCGGCAAGGAAGCCCUGGAUGACCCUCUUAACAGAGGCUGCCAAGGCUCCAGCGCCCACUUUCUCAGCCUCCCUUGCUGCUCAGGAUGAAAUAUGUAGAGCUGGAGAAGAGACAUGGUUAGUCCUUACGUCCUGCCUUAAAUGAUGAUGUGAUGGCCAUUAUCUGGAUCCUUCAUGGAAUUUCGGCAGUUCCAACGUGUCAGGCCAGUGUCUGGGAUUCUCUCAGCCUUUCGCUUUUUCCCCUGGGAGUCGGACAGCUGCUGCAGCUCAGUCAGACCAAACCUCUCUGAAUACCACCAAGAAUCGGGAUCUUGUUCUGUUGUCCAGGCUGGAGUGCAGUGGUACAAUCACAGCUCACUGCAGCCUUAACCUCCUGGGCUCAAGACAUCCUCCCACGUCUGCCUCUCGAGUAGCUCGGACCACAGAUUCUUUUCAGGCUAAACCCUUCACAGAAAUCUGAAUAAUUAGUUUUUUCCAGAGCUACAGAAUACAAUAAUAUCAAUUUCCACAUAUGCUAAAAAACAUCAUUACCUUCUUCCCUUGGAAGGCUUAUAAUCCAAGCAAUAGGUAUCUACAGCUUUGCGUUUAGUGGUGGAAGCCUCAGGCCACUGAUAAACAGAAAGAAAAUGUCAAGAGGAAUUUGUUUCCAAUGUCUUAUACAAAUAACCUUGGUUUUUAUUCUAGAAAAAGUCACAUAAUAUGCCAAAAGUUCUUGGCACAUUAGGUAGUUUGGUACUUUAAAAUACAAACUUGUUUGUCUUUAUUCAAGAAUUAGCAAAAACAUCUAAGUUCCAUGGAGUAAUAUUUUACUUCAGUGACUCGCAUGAGAACAAUACACAUACAAGGGACUAGGGCCACGUGAUGAGAACAGCACUCUGUUCUUAAAUAUCAGCUCUAUUUUGCUUCUUUAUUUGUACUUUAUUGCUUGGAGCUCUUUUUUAUGAGCAUGCAUCAUUUUCUACAAAGAAUAAAGUAAUUUUAACAAAGCAAGUUGACUAUGAACAAGGACUAGAAAAUAAUUUAGGAGAACGAAAUGUUGCUUUGUAAGAGAAGUAGGAGCAAUUGUAGGGGACUCCCAGGAAUGUGAAGAUGGGAUGUCAGAUGAUGUUGCUAAUUCUAUUGAUCAAGCGCUAAGCCCCAUUUACCCAUUAACUCACUGAGGCCUUCCAGUGAGCACCACCUGCGAGGGAGCACUCCACCCCUAUCUAGUAAGCACUAUUCUGUUCUGGAAAUGAGUCUGAGACACAGAAAGGUUAAGUAACUUGCUAGAGGCUACACAGUAUUAUCAGUGGAGAACUACGUGCUUGGACUACUACACUAGACUUCUCUCUACCCUUCAGUUUCUAAAAGUAAUUUCCCCCAUAGGAAAUCUUGAUUACUCUCAUCCACUCAGAUCACUCUUCUAUGCUAUAUUUCUUCAGCCCUAAUAUACACAUUUUGUACUGUAGUGUUUUGUUUGUUUGUUUUUGGAGACAGAGUCACCCAGGCUGGAGUGUAGUGGCACGAUCUUGGCUAACUGUAACCUCUGCCUCCUGGGUUCAAGUAAUUCUCCUGCCUCAGCCUUCUAAGUAGCUGAGAUUACAGGCACUCUUCGCCGCGCCUGGCUAAUUUUUGUAUAAUAUUUUUAGCAGAGACGGGGUUUUGUCAUGUUGGCUAGGCUGGUCUCAAACACCUGGCCUCAAGCAAUCCACCCGCCUCAGCCUCCCAAAGUGCUGGGAUUACAGGUGUGAGCCACUGUGUCCAGCCCUUAUGUUUUAUUUAUUCAUUUAACAAUUAUUUGUUGCGUGCUGCUGAGUGCCAGGCCUGACGCCGGCUGUGAAGAUUUCAGAAGGGCCUGCCAAACCGUCCCUGUCCAAAACAGCUCACUAUCAAGCAUGGUUAUUUUGUAAGUGUUCUGCACUGGCUUCCUUCUUCCCUAAUCAGACCAUCUGUUGGAUCUCAUGGAGCUGUCUCCUAUUUCUCUGUAAUCAAGCCACAGUAUCUAACAUUUGGGGCCACUGGUAACUUGCCGUCUACUCCCAUGCUGGAAGCCCAGGACCCUUGAACAUAAGAGGCGCCUUCUGACACCUGCGGUGCUGUCAGAGCCUGCAGGCUGCAGACAGUGAGUCAGGAACUGGAGAAUUCCCAGGAGUGGUAUAAGGAGCUGGGACUCGCGUCAGACAGGGAAAGGACUGACAGAGACCAGGACAGAACAAGAAGCACAAGGAAAGUCAAGAGGAGAGUAAUGACCGCAAUCCCAAGGUAGACUGGACUGGAGUGUCUGGAGGGUCCGACAGGAGAAGGGCAUUUGUGUUCAUCACGGAGCUACUAGGAGAAAGAAGAGCCUGGGUCUUAGCAAGGAUGUGGUCAGGACACAACAAUAGAGUGGACCCCUCCAGUGAGUGUGGACUAUGACUUAUGGCAGGCCCAAGGGUCCCAGCGCAGGGUGGGGUGGGGAGGGCAUGGCUUGCUGUAGCAUCACGCACUGCUAGUCACCAUCUACCCAGUACAGGUCACCAAUGAUGGAACAGCUACAGCCUCCUCCCCUUCCCCUGUACUCCCUGUGCCCCCUUCUUUUUUUUUUUUGAGAUGGAGUCUCGUUCUGUCACCCAGGCUGGAGUGCAGUGGCGCGAUCUCGGCUUACUGCAAGCUGCGCCUCCCAGGUUCACGCCAUUCUCCUGCCUCAGCCUCUCGAGUAGCUGGGACUACAGGCACCUGCCACGAUGCCUGGCUAAUUUUUUAUAUUUUUUAGUAGAGGUGGGGUUUCACUGUGUUAGCCAGGAUGGUCUCGAUCUCCUGACCUUGUGAUCCGCCCGCCUCAGCCUCCCAAAGUGCUGGGAUUACAGGCCUGAGCCACCGCGCCCGGCCCCUGUGCCCCCCUUCUUAAACAUGUUCUCAACAGUGGUUUAGCGAUACCCAAGCAAGGCCUUUGCAUAUGUGGGAAGUUGUGCACCAUGCAAGAGUGCCACAUGCAAACAGCACCUUUCCCCGUGUAGACACUGUAGAUUUACAUACCCUUACCACAUACCCUUCCAGGAACAGGGAAGCAAAGGCUCUUGAGGAAGAGAUUUCCCACAAAGGUGCUAUGUGGGUUAGUGUUGGCAUGCUCACCAAGAGAUAUUUCAAGCUAUUUCCAAGGGUAUUGGAAAAAUCAUUUAUAAGCAAAUUCUUUUUUUACUUAUGGAAAAUUUUAAGCAUAUACAAAAAUAGACAACAGUAUCAUGAACCUCUACAUAUCCAUCACAUGCAACUUCUUUUUAAUUCGCUUAAAUUUAAAAAUAGAUACGUGAAAUAAAGCAUUUGGGGCAGAAGUUCAUUGCAAAAUCAAAUGAUAGAAUUUCACAGCUCCUAGGCAAUCAAAUACUCCCCUUGUGCCAUAAGGAGAUUUAGGCCUUUUAUUUCCUUUUCUUUUACAAUUUGUUUUCUUUGCUAUCAUUCAUAUGUAGAGUUCUCCUGCAGUAUGUAGAAGGUGGACAUUGUCAUUUUCAAAAAUGGAGUAAUUAUGGCCUAUCUACCUGACUGUGCAGCUAUCAAUAAUAAUUAUUAUUAUAAAGGCCAUAUAACAGGGAAAAGCAUUAUUGAUUAGUGUUAAUAAACGGUAUAAAUUGUACAUAAACAGUGAUGUCUACUGUGUGAACAUAUACUAGAUAUGCAUGUAAACAAAAACUAGAGGUAAAUUGAAAAAAUAAAAUCAGUUUUUGCAU
This 3830-nucleotide long non-coding RNA is filed under the name Homo sapiens (human). RNAcentral describes it as "HSALNT0297634". The record is from RNAcentral. Lineage: Eukaryota; Metazoa; Chordata; Mammalia; Primates; Hominidae.